This 870-nucleotide ribosomal RNA is filed under the name Emiliania huxleyi. RNAcentral describes it as "partial Bacterial small subunit ribosomal RNA". It matches the Rfam family "Bacterial small subunit ribosomal RNA", at positions 90 to 956 of the family's 1533-position model. Lineage: Eukaryota; Haptophyta; Isochrysidales; Noelaerhabdaceae. The record is from RNAcentral.
ACCUAGCGGCGGACGGGUGAGUAAUGCUUAGGAAUCUGCCUAUUAGUGGGGGACAACAUUCCGAAAGGAAUGCUAAUACCGCAUACGCCCUACGGGGGAAAGCAGGGGAUCUUCGGACCUUGCGCUAUCGGAUGAGCCUAUGUCGGAUUAGCUAGUUGGUGAGGUAACGGCUCACCAAGGCUGCGAUCCGUAGCUGGUCUGAGAGGAUGAUCAGCCACAUCGGGACUGAGACACGGCCCGAACUCCUACGGGAGGCAGCAGUGGGGAAUAUUGGACAAUGGGCGAAAGCCUGAUCCAGCCAUGCCGCGUGUGUGAAGAAGGCCUUCGGGUUGUAAAGCACUUUCAGUGAGGAAGAAAGCCUUGAGGUUAAUACCCUCGAGGGAGGACAUCACUCACAGAAGAAGCACCGGCUAACUCCGUGCCAGCAGCCGCGGUAAUACGGAGGGUGCGAGCGUUAAUCGGAAUUACUGGGCGUAAAGCGCGCGUAGGCGGUUUGUUAAGUCGGAUGUGAAAGCCCCGGGCUCAACCUGGGAUGGUCAUUUAGAACUGGCAGACUAGAGUCUUGGAGAGGGGAGUGGAAUUCCAGGUGUAGCGGUGAAAUGCGUAGAUAUCUGGAGGAACAUCAGUGGCGAAGGCGACUCCCUGGCCAAAGACUGACGCUCAUGUGCGAAAGUGUGGGUAGCGAACAGGAUUAGAUACCCUGGUAGUCCACACCGUAAACGCUGUCUACUAGCUGUGUGUGCCUUUAAGGCGUGCGUAGCGAAGCUAACGCGCUAAGUAGACCGCCUGGGGAGUACGGCCGCAAGGUUAAAACUCAAAUGAAUUGACGGGGGCCCGCACAAGCGGUGGAGCAUGUGGUUUAAUUCGAUG